UAGUGAUGAGGAUGCCAUAUUUUUUAACUGACAAUCCUGAUGUCUGGAAUACGCUAUUCUGAGCUAUUA
This is a small nucleolar RNA of Syngnathoides biaculeatus (alligator pipefish), 69 nucleotides long. RefSeq annotates it as small nucleolar RNA U54. Lineage: Eukaryota; Metazoa; Chordata; Actinopteri; Syngnathiformes; Syngnathidae. The transcript has a single exon. The record is from RefSeq and is a predicted model, not a curated record.